GGUUAAAAAAUCAAAGGAACUAAGGGCGCACAGCGGAUGCCUUGGCACUAAGAGCCGAUGAAGGACGCAAUUAACGGCGAAACGCCACGGGAAGCUGUAAAUAAGUGAAGAUCCGUGGGUCUCCGAAUGGGAAAACCCAUUACAUUGAAGAUGUAAUAUUCUUCUAAUCCGAUUUAUCUUGUUAGAAGAAAGGAAACGCGGCGAACUGAAAUAUCUAAGUAACCGCAGGAAAAGAAAGUAAUAACGAUUCUGGUAGUAGUGACGAGCGAACCCAGAACAGCCUGAUAUCAUUUGUAGUUAUAAAAUUUUAACGAAGUAGAAGCUUUUGGAAAGAAGCACCAAAGAAGGUGACAGUCCCGUAAACGUAAGUUAAAAUCUAGGGUAUCAAUAAGUACGGCGAGACACGAGAAAUCUUGUCGGAAGAUGGGAGGACCAUCUCCUAAGGCUAAAUACUUCUUAGUGACCGAUAGUGAACUAGUACCGUGAGGGAAAGGUGAAAAGAACCCCGAAAGGGGAGUGAAAUAGAUCCUGAAACUGUGUGCCUACAAUUAGUCAAAGCACGUUAAUGUGUGAUGGCUUGCCUUUUGCAGAAUGAACCGGCGAGUUAUGAUAUGGAGCAAGGUUAAGUU
Molecule: ribosomal RNA, 629 nt
Filed under: New Jersey aster yellows phytoplasma
Lineage: Bacteria; Bacillati; Mycoplasmatota; Mollicutes; Acholeplasmatales; Acholeplasmataceae
Description: bacterial LSU rRNA
Rfam family: Bacterial large subunit ribosomal RNA
Source: RNAcentral